This is a non-coding RNA of Pangasius djambal, 76 nucleotides long. The record is from the annotation of a GenBank genome assembly. Lineage: Eukaryota; Metazoa; Chordata; Actinopteri; Siluriformes; Pangasiidae.
GGGGAUGUAGCUCAGUGGUAGAGCGCAUGCUUUGCAUGUAUGAGGCCCCGGGUUCAAUCUCCACAGGGCUGCUUUU